Molecule: ribosomal RNA, 491 nt
Filed under: uncultured bacterium
Lineage: Bacteria
Description: bacterial SSU rRNA
Rfam family: Bacterial small subunit ribosomal RNA
Source: RNAcentral
GAUGAACGCUAGCGGCAGGCCUAAUACAUGCAAGUCGAACGAUACCAGAGAGCUUGCUUUCUGGGAAAGUGGCGCACGGGUGCGUAACGCGUAUGCAACCUACCUUAAUCAGGGGGAUAGCCUCUCGAAAGAGAGAUUAACACCGCAUAAAAUCACACUUCGGCAUCGAAGAAUGAUCAAAUAUUUAUAGGAUUAAGAUGGGCAUGCGUGACAUUAGCUAGUUGGUAAGGUAACGGCUUACCAAGGCUACGAUGUCUAGGGGAUCUGAGAGGAUGACCCCCCACACUGGUACUGAGACACGGACCAGACUCCUACGGGAGGCAGCAGUAAGGAAUAUUGGUCAAUGGGGGCAACCCUGAACCAGCCAUGCCGCGUGCAGGAAGACGGCCCUACGGGUUGUAAACUGCUUUUAUACGGGAAUAAAUCUCGCUACGUGUAGUGAGUUGAAUGUACUGUAAGAUAAGGAUCGGCUAACUCCGUGCCAGCAGCCG